Molecule: ribosomal RNA, 541 nt
Filed under: uncultured Gallionellaceae bacterium
Lineage: Bacteria; Pseudomonadati; Pseudomonadota; Betaproteobacteria; Nitrosomonadales; Gallionellaceae
Description: bacterial SSU rRNA
Rfam family: Bacterial small subunit ribosomal RNA
Source: RNAcentral
AAUGGGGGAUAACGUAGCGAAAGUUACGCUAAUACCGCAUAUGCCCUGAGGGGGAAAGGUGGGGAUCGCAAGACCUAUCGUUUUCGGAGUGGCCGAUAUCAGAUUAGCUAGUUGGUGGGGUAAAGGCCCACCAAGGCGACGAUCUGUAGCGGGUCUGAGAGGAUGAUCCGCCACACUGGGACUGAGACACGGCCCAGACUCCUACGGGAGGCAGCAGUGGGGAAUUUUGGACAAUGGGGGCAACCCUGAUCCAGCCAUGCCGCGUGAGUGAAGAAGGCCUUCGGGUUGUAAAGCUCUUUCAGCCGGAAAGAAAUCGCGCAGGCUAAUAUCCUGUGUGGAUGACGGUACCGGAAGAAGAAGCACCGGCUAACUACGUGCCAGCAGCCGCGGUAAUACGUAGGGUGCGAGCGUUAAUCGGAAUUACUGGGCGUAAAGCGUGCGCAGGCGGUUUUGUAAGACAGGCGUGAAAUCCCCGGGCUUAACCUGGGAACUGCGUUUGUGACUGCAAGGCUAGAGUGUGGCAGAGGGGGGUAGGAUUCCG